CCCCAGACUCCUACGGGAGGCAGCAGUGGGGAAUAUUGCACAAUGGGGGAAACCCCGAUGCAGCGACGCCGCGUGAGCGAUGAAGUAUUUCGGUAUGUAAAGCUCUAUCAGCAGGGAAGAAGAUGACGGUACCUGACUAAGAAGCCCCGGCUAACUACGUGCCAGCAGCCGCGGUAAUACGUAGGGGGCAAGCGUUAUCCGGAUUUACUGGGUGUAAAGGGAGCGUAGACGGCGAUGCAAGCCAGAUGUGAAAGCCCGGGGCUCAACCCCGGGACUGCAUUUGGAACUGUGUGGCUGGAGUGUCGGAGAGGCAGGCGGAAUUCCUAGUGUAGCGGUGAAAUGCGUAGAUAUUAGGAGGAACACCAGUGGCGAAGGCGGCCUGCUGGACGAUGACUGACGUUGAGGCUCGAAAGCGUGGGGAGCAAACAGGAUUAGAUACCCGCGUACU
This 448-nucleotide ribosomal RNA is filed under the name uncultured bacterium. Its description in RNAcentral is "bacterial SSU rRNA". It matches the Rfam family "Bacterial small subunit ribosomal RNA", at positions 329 to 794 of the family's 1533-position model. The record is from RNAcentral.